RNAcentral lists this ribosomal RNA (468 nucleotides) under uncultured bacterium. Its description in RNAcentral is "partial 16S ribosomal RNA". It matches the Rfam family "Bacterial small subunit ribosomal RNA", at positions 28 to 507 of the family's 1533-position model. The record is from RNAcentral.
GACGAACGCUGGCGGCGUGCUUAACACAUGCAAGUCGAACGGAAAGGCCCUGCUUUUGUGGGGUGCUCGAGUGGCGAACGGGUGAGUAACACGUGAGUAACCUGCCCUUGACUUUGGGAUAACUUCAGGAAACUGGGGCUAAUACCGGAUAGGAGCUCCUGCUGCAUGGUGGGGGUUGGAAAGUUUCGGCGGUUGGGGAUGGACUCGCGGCUUAUCAGCUUGUUGGUGGGGUAGUGGCUUACCAAGGCUUUGACGGGUAGCCGGCCUGAGAGGGUGACCGGCCACAUUGGGACUGAGAUACGGCCCAGACUCCUACGGGAGGCAGCAGGGGAGAAUAUUGCACAAUGGGCGGGAGCCUGAUGCAGCAACGCCGCGUGCGGGAUGACGGCCUUCGGGUUGUAAACCGCUUUCGCCUGUGACGAAGCGUGAGUGACGGUAAUGGGUAAAGAAGCACCGGCUAACUACGUG